This 253-nucleotide ribosomal RNA is filed under the name uncultured bacterium. RNAcentral describes it as "partial 16S ribosomal RNA". It matches the Rfam family "Bacterial small subunit ribosomal RNA", at positions 524 to 776 of the family's 1533-position model. The record is from RNAcentral.
UACGUAGGGUCCGAGCGUUGUCCGGAAUUAUUGGGCGUAAAGAGCUCGUAGGCGGUUUGUCGCGUCUGCUGUGAAAUCCCGAGGCUCAACCUCGGGCCUGCAGUGGGUACGGGCAGACUAGAGUGCGGUAGGGGAGACUGGAAUUCCCGGUGUAGCGGUGAAAUGCGCAGAUAUCAGGAGGAACACCGGUGGCGAAGGCGGGUCUCUGGGCCGUAACUGACGCUGAGGAGCGAAAGCAUGGGGAGCGAACAGG